UUUCAUAAUUCUAAAUACAAAAAAAAUUAAGUAUAAAACAAACAUUAAAAAAUGUAAAAGACAAGCCAAACUUGCUAUCCACAAAGAAAGUAGCGCAAGCAUUAAACAUCUGUCAUUUGAUAUCAGGAGAUUCUCAAAAGCAAAUGCAUAUAAUCACUACCAAAAUUUACAUUCUAGUUUCAUAUACACUUUGCUUAAUCCUCCAAAGUUAAACAUAUAACUAACCAUCACAUAACAAAAAAUAGAAGUAUGUCAAAUCACUUCGGUAUAAUGAAUUUCAAAUGGAUCAGAUUAUUUGGCUUGAUUUCUCAAAAGAGAAACAAAUUCGCACAGUAUGUUCAGCUUCGAUCAUCUGGGGAAAUAAUCAUCAAAUCCAAAUUAUAUUCCAUAUAAAAAACUAAGAAAUUAAUAUUACAAAUAGAAACAAAUAUCAUUCCUCGCUGCACUGGACUCCUUCUCUCACAUGACAUUUUCUUCUACAUGUAAUUGGUUAACGCUUUCAUGUAAUCGACUACAACCUGUUUUUGUAGUAUUCCAAGAAUUGAUGUUGUUUCUGUCCCGCAACUUGUUGAUGAUGCAUUCACCUUCUGUGAUCAUGACUAAGAUUGUGUUCUCUUUAUCAAACUAUUGUCUUGCAACCUUAGCUUCAUCUCCUUGAGGCUCCUUCUUAUUUGCAUUGCACUCUUUGCAAAAUGAAUGAACCUUUGACACUUAAAGAUUUUUCUUUGCUUUUUUUCAAACCUCUUUUGUUCACCUCUAAUGUUGUCUUGAACGCCAUUUUUGUUGCAGCUACUCUCACCCAUUUAACAAGUCGACUUCUUGGAAUUUUGGGACUCUCUUCCACCAAAAUUCAGAAAAUUUCUUUUACUCUUCAUGGGUCAUUUUUCUUUUGAUCUCUUGUCCUUCUCGUUGAAGCGAGCUUGCAAAGCAAUCUCCGUCUUUGACUUACCAUUAUUUCUUUAUAGGUCCGCAAGUUUACGAAAAUAUCGUAUUAAUAUAAAAAAUAUCGAACCCACAUAGACCAAUUAUCAACCUACUGUUAUCUUUUGUUAUUAUAUAAAUCUAAGGCUUUUGAUAAUAAUUUUUGGGUGCUAAAGAAAGAAAUAAGCUAGUUUUAAAAAUCAAUUAAGAGAAGAAAAUCGGAAUGUGGUUCUCAUCGAUCAAUAGUACUCGCGAAGUCGUUUAGUUUAUAAUUAAGUUGGGAUAAUAUUUUCUCAUAAGAUAAAGGAUUAAUUUAAAGGAAUUGUUUGUUUUCACACACAGUUUUUAGCCUCUGUACGGCCGUUUUCGCAUAUUCAGCGUGUUAAAGUGCAAAAAUUCAUUUUGAAAAUUAAUUGCUUUUAAUUAUUUGAAAAUUCGUUUAAGGUGGAAAAAAAGUUUAAGGUAUUAUCAAAUUUCGCGUGUCUAUUUAUGUUCUUAAAAUUUUCUUUUUGAAAAUUGUUAUUUUUACUAUUUAAUUAAAAAGUGUUUUCGCUUUGUUAAUAAUUAAAAAUUGAUUUUUUUUGUACAGUUGGAACAUUUUUAUUUUUUCGAAUCGGAGUUGGUAUCUCUAAGUUAUGAUUUUGCAAAGAACAAAUUAAUUGAAAAUAUAAAUAAAAUCAUUUCAUUAAACAAAUCUUAUUUUAAUCAUAAUUUUUAUGAUCUAUAUGUGAGUAUCGUAGGUACAACGGUCCCCACAUUCUGGACUCGGUAGAUUUAGCCGGACAUCAUUAAAACAAGACAUAAACAGUAAUGAAAAUUAAAUCUAAACAUACUAAUUAUAACAAUAUAACAUAAACACGUGCAUGUAGUAUAAGAGAAAUUAUGAAUGAUUUUACAAAAUUAUCUUUCAUUAAUAAUAUUGAAAAGAGAAACUGAUAUAAUUGAAAGAAAGAGAAUAAUAAAUAUUUAAGGAUAUAAUAGAAAAAAUAUCAUUAAUGAUACAUUGAUAUUAUAAAACAACUUAUAUUGUAGUAUAAAAUAUUCUUUCAAAUUGACUUAUAAUAAAAAACGGAAGUAGUACUAAAUAAUAAAAACAGUCAAGAAGAAUUUUGAUAUAGAACUGAAUACACAAUAUAAUAAUAAUAAUAAUAAUAAUAAUAAUAAUAAUAAUAAUAAUAAUAAUGAAAAAGUUCAAAGCAGAAACAAAAGAAAUGUUGGAAUAAAAAUAUGGAAAGUUAAUGCCGACAAAAUUAAAAUACAAACAAUCCAAUAAUAGUCUGAAAUUUUGUAGAAUCUAAAUCUAAAAUGAAGCAAUCUCUCAGUGUGAGAAAAUAAUCACUUUAACAAAAGUAAAUUCCGGCCUAAAAUAAAAAUUUAAAAGCUUUGAUAUUGAAAACCUAGAAGAAUUAGUCUCAAGCUACACAUAUUCCAACCAUUUUUGUAUAGUACUCAUAUCUUAUUGCAAUGUGUUUUAUCCGAAGAUAAUGAAGGUCCAAUGUUGUUUUUAGGUUGGGGCUAACAUUGGCUUACAUCUUUGUCAGAUUUUUUUUGAAAUUUUAACCUGCAAGGGGGACUAAAUAUAUUGCAGGUUAUAUGAGGUAUUUUCUAGGUUCGUAUAAAUAAAAUCAAACAUAUCUUUUCUUCUAGGAUUGAUUCAUGAAAAGUGCAAUAUAUUUCAAAAUAAUCUGACAAAGAUGUAAGCCAAUGUUAGCCCGAACCUAAAAACAUUCGACCUACAUUAUCUUCAAUGGGUUACCCAUUUAUCAAUAUCUCUAAAAGGACAAAAAAAUAAAAAACUUUAUCUUUAUAUUACUUCACAGAUUUUUAAAAUAAAAAUAAAACAGAAAACACUUUUAUACUAGGUAUUUCAAUAAAAUUCUUUGAAUAAUAAAGACAGAUUAUAUCAAUUUUAUUUAAAUGUUCUUAUUUAAAAUUAAUUGCAAGACAAUCAAUUUUAUUUCAAACAGUCAAAGUCAAACUCAUCGCAAGACAAGAAGGUAGCCGAAAUCCUAUAAGGAGCAUGCUGAAAGGAGAUUACAAAUGAUGCUGAAAACUUGCCAAAUGACCUAUAAAGAGUUUUCCCUCAAUUUGUUACCGUUAUAGGAUUGAUUCCAUAUGAUCCUGAAAUGAACAAUAAGGAGAUUGCUAUCCAUUGCUCUCAAUCCGGAUGCUGAAAAAUGCCAAAUGACCAUUAAGGAGAUUGCUCUCAAUUACUCUCACUUGUGAUACAGAAAAACUGCCAAACGACCUUAAGGAUCACGCUUCCUUAUCAAGCAAAGUCAGCCCAAUAUUUUGCCACAUCUUGGGUGGAAUGCGCCUCAACUUGAGGGUUUCUUUGAUUACUUGGGAGUACUGAAUCUUUGAUUACUUGGAGUACUGAAUCAAAAUCUAGACGAAUGUCGGACCUGAUUCCAACGGUUGUCUCCAUCAACACAUCAUGGUUAGUAAUGAAUAAAUCAUGCAAAUAACCCUUACAUUCAUUAAGUUGUUAGUAAUUGCAUUAAUUCAUGGAAAUAACCCCCAACAAUUCUAAUAGGUAGAUGAUAAGGGAGUCAAUAAAAGCAAAAUAUCUAAAACCUUGAUUGACACCGAAAUACUACAGGUUUAAUUUAACUUUAAAAAACUAAUUUCAUAAUUCUAAAUACAAAAAAAAUUAAGUAUAAAACAAACAUUAAAAAAUGUAAAAGACAAGCCAAACUCGCUAUCCACAAAGAAAGUAGCGCAAGCAUUAAACAUCUGUCAUUUGAUAUCAGGAGAUUCUCAAAAGCAAAUGCAUAUAAUCACUACCAAAAUUUACAUUCGGGUUUCAUAUACACUUUGCUUAAUCCUCCAAAGUUAAAAAUACAACUAACCAUCACAUCACAAAAACUAGAAGUAAGGUAAAUAACUUCGGUAUAAUGAAUUUCAAAUGGAUCAGAUUAUUUGGCUUGAUUUCUCAAAAGAGAAACAAAUUCGCACAGUAUGUUCAGCUUCGAUCAUCUGGGGAAAUAAUCAUCAAAUCCAAAUUAUAUUCCAUAUAAAAAAACUGAGCAAUUAAAAUUACAAAUAGAAACAAAUAACACAAAUAAACAUUGAUAACUACUAAUUACUAUGGGUCAGAUUAUUUGGCUUGAUUUCUCCAAAGAGAAACAAAUUCGCACAGUUUUUUCAGCUUCGAUCAUCUGGGGAAAUUAUCAUCACACCCAAAAAGUAAAAUUACAAUGCAACCUAAGCAUUAACUUAUCAUGUUAUUCACUAAUACACUUCAAAACAAUUAUUUAAAAAAAAAGACAUAUUAGAAUUGUAACAAUGGAUCAGAUUAUUUGGCUUGAUUUCUCAAAAGAGAAACAAAUUCGCACAGUAUGUUCAGUUUCGAUCAUCUGGGGAAAAAAUCAUCACAUCCAAUUACCAAACAACUCUUAUGAUGUAAAAAUUGAACAUAAUGACACAAAAUUCACAGCCAUUGAUUUUGAAUCAAAUUUCAGUACAACAAAAUGGAUCAGAUAAUUUGGCUUGAUUUCUCAAAAGAGAAACAAAAUUCGCACAGUAUCAUCAGUUUCGAUCACCUGGGGAAAUUAUCAUCACAUCCAAUUUAUCAAUAAAACAGAUCUUUCGCAUUCAACUCAUCAGCAAUAAACACAAUCCCGAUAAAUAAACAAAAAUUAAUGAAUCAGAAAAAAAAUUCAACAAGAGGGAGAAUAUUCCUAUCUGCAAUAGAACUGAAUCAAACAAAAGAAAACAGAGCUUAAAGAAUUGCAGAGAGAAAUCGAUUUGGCGUCAGCUCAUACUCAAAGCUCACACGAUUCAGAGCAUUGGUAAUCAGUAUUUUGACGCUAAAAAAAUUAGGCAAACCCUAAAUCGAAAAUUGAAACAACCACUGCAAAAGACAGAAGCUAUGAGAGAGUGUAAUUGAUAAUAUUAGAGAAGAGAGGCGAAGGUGUUUAUAAAGGAGAAAACGAAAGAAAGAGUCUGCGGCUACAAAACCCUAAUUUAGUUUGUGCGAAAGAAACCCGGGUUGGCCUUCAAGAUUGGAUUAGCCCAUAUAUUCUAAUGGCCCAGCAUAAAAGUUGAAAGAAA
This 4977-nucleotide long non-coding RNA is filed under the name Lathyrus oleraceus (garden pea). RNAcentral describes it as "Pisum sativum (pea) long non-coding RNA (PSAT_LNC019469)". The record is from RNAcentral. Lineage: Eukaryota; Viridiplantae; Streptophyta; Magnoliopsida; Fabales; Fabaceae.